AAGCAACACUCUGUGGCAGAUGAUCAAAACUGUCUGACACAAUUUGAGCUUGCUAUAGUAACAGAGUCUGACCUAUUCCGGCACUCUCUCUUCUAUGAGACAAGCCGUUAUAUAGACUUAGACAGU
Molecule: small nucleolar RNA, 126 nt
Organism: Pteronotus mesoamericanus
Lineage: Eukaryota; Metazoa; Chordata; Mammalia; Chiroptera; Mormoopidae
Product: small nucleolar RNA SNORA28
Exons: 1
Source: RefSeq, a predicted model, not a curated record